This is a long non-coding RNA of Oryzias melastigma (Indian medaka), 622 nucleotides long. RefSeq lists it as uncharacterized. NCBI's taxonomy places the organism in Eukaryota, Metazoa, Chordata, Actinopteri, Beloniformes, Adrianichthyidae. The transcript is spliced from 2 exons. The record is from RefSeq and is a predicted model, not a curated record.
AGCUAGUGGUUUCACAGACCAGUUGGCUUUCUUUUACUCCUGGACCUUUUACUGCAUGCGCCGCGACAGUCCAACUUUGAGUGGGAACGCUCACCUGAAUUCUCUGGACCAUUCUAAACUGGAGUGGAUCACUCAGUGGAAAAAAAAAAGGCUUGAUUGUUUGCCCUUUAAGGCCUUGUGCUUGUUAGACAGUUGUGUAAAAAAUUUCACUUCAUGUUGUACUAUUUAUGUAUGUGUGUUUGGAUGUGUUUGUGACCAAUACAAUUUAAAUUUAAAUUUGAAAGCACUCUUCUUUUCUUCUGUUACAGCCUCAAAGAACCAACUUCUUCUUCUAUGGUUGUUGAGGCAAACACUAAAAGUUCUAAAAAUCCAUGAUGGGUCAGCAGCUCUGCAGAUGAUUCCCCGGAAACCAAUCAGACAGAAAGGAGAGCUGGACCAGGUUGCACAAGUGCUACUAACAUAAUGAGGGCUGCUGGUCACCUAGUCAUGCUAAUUUAGGAGGAACUGAGUUUAUGGUGCAUUCCACACGCUGCACUCUACUGCCUGUAACACAGAAGAAACAAACCACAGAAAUAAAACCAUAAAACUCACUUUUUCGCAGCAAAUGCUGCUUAAGGAAAGA